This is a long non-coding RNA of Sinocyclocheilus anshuiensis, 399 nucleotides long. RefSeq lists it as uncharacterized. The transcript is spliced from 3 exons. NCBI's taxonomy places the organism in Eukaryota, Metazoa, Chordata, Actinopteri, Cypriniformes, Cyprinidae. The record is from RefSeq and is a predicted model, not a curated record.
CUAAAUUAUACUACAGAGACAAGUCAGAAUUAGUCAAGUAAUAGUGGUUGGAAAUUGCACUUUUUGUAGUUGAAGGCCAUUUAAGACCUCCAGAGGCAUCCAGAUGUGCAGUGCUUUAGUGAUUGCUGAAAAUGAACAAAUGUGUCACUUUCUGAUGUCUUAUAGUAACGCAAGUUAACGUUGUUUUUGAAAGUCAGUGUGAAACCAAAUAGCAGAAAUGUUUUAUAAAGGUUUUAAGAUGUACAUAUUAGUUUUGUACCACUUUAAAUGACAUUCCUCAAGUCAGUUUUCAAUUAAAAAUAGAACUAGCAGUAUUUUGUGCAUUCAUGUCCUUAGGUUUUAUGAUCUAUUUAAAAGUCUUUCUUUUAAAAUUUAAAUCAAAGGAGUACAUAUGCAUUU